RNA transcript from Populus euphratica (Euphrates poplar), 3528 nucleotides. It is a transcript of the gene named disease resistance RPP13-like protein 4, with no coding region annotated. The record is from RefSeq and is a predicted model, not a curated record. Lineage: Eukaryota; Viridiplantae; Streptophyta; Magnoliopsida; Malpighiales; Salicaceae. The transcript has 2 exons.
CUUUAAACAAAGACCAAGAACAUAACUUAGAAGUCUAGUCUUCCUUUCCAGCUAACAAUCACUUGUACGCAGACAAGAACUCAGUUGACCAAUGAUACAAGCUAAUUAAUAUAUCCACAACCUUUCAGACGGCAGAAGAGCAGAAUUUUCAGAUCCCAUUAUAUGGGCUCCUCUCUAACAAAAUGUAAACAGCAAGUGGCUCAAAAACUGAUGUUUCAUUUUCUGGGGGCGGUCUCAACUGAGCAGGUUCAUGUUUGAUCAGUCUUGGUUCAAACUGACUCAAGCUCGGCCUCAAACUGAAGUUCGUGUCCUGGUUUGGUGAACUUCCUGUCUUUCACUCUCUAGUUUUCUUGAGUUUUCGGCAUAAUCAUGUCAUCUGUUGUUAGCUCUAGAGAUGCAUUGACCAUUCAACAAAUUAUCGCCUCAAUUCCGGAUUUGAUUGAUCUUGUUUCCGCUGCCAAGUCAUCAAUUCCUUUGCUCCCACAAUUAAAUACCGAUAACUCAAUCACCACCACUACUCUUGAUGCUCCCGCGCCCCCCCCCGCCACCACCAGCAGCAACGUUAAUGACAACAAUAUUGGCAGUAACACCACCACUUCCAUAUCCACACCAGGAAACAGAAAUAAUACUACAGCUGCCACAGCAACCGCCACCGCCCUCUCCAUCUCCACCUCUGGCCCGGCUCCUUCUCUGGCCUCUGCCCUUGACUCCGGCUCCGGCUCCCGCUCCGGCUCUACCAGCACCUCCACAACUACUGAAGGCGGCUGCAACAGCGACGGCAACACCACAACCAGCAAUAAUGCUAAUAUCAAGGACAAGAACAUCACGGCCGAUGUUGGCAAUGAUGGCAGUGUGAAUUCUGAAGGUGAAAGCAACCAAAAACUGCAUAAUCAGUUGGAGAAAUUGACCAGAGAUUUAUACUAUGUUCAAAGCGCCUGUGACAAACUCAAACAUCUAGAACUACAUGUUGGCAACCAAUUCAAGAGUCUUCAAAGACAAGGUGAAUUCCUGCAGGGUGUCUUAAGGAAUUUAGAACGAGUACGAAAUGGCACCACCGGUAAUCAUGCCAUCCUAACCAAGCAAAUGCAACUUAACAUUAAGUUAAUUGCUGGGAUGGUAAUGGAGUUGAAGUAUCACAUACCGUCACCAUACAAGCUGAAUUUGGCCAAUGAAGUACUCAAGUCGCAAAAUGUUAGUGGGGGAGAUUCCCUGAAUUUGAUCGAUGAGAUUCUUAAAAUACGCGGUAACAAAGCAUUUGAAGGGUGUUCAUCUUUUGUAGAUUUUAAAGAGAGUUAUAACAGUCUUGAUUUAAGAGAUAAGCUUUGUUUGUUGUGUUUCUCAGUGUUUCCUGAGAAUUCUGUUGUCAAGAAGAGAUUGCUGAUGUAUUGGUGGGUUGGAGAGGGUUUCAUAGACCCAAAAGUUGAUGCUGACAAGCCUGAGGAAGUUGCUGAUGGCAUUUUGAAGAAAUUCUUGGAGAAAGGGUUUGUUGAGCCUGAGAUCAAGAAACGUAGACUGGUUGGGUUCAGGACGCACUCAUUGAUUCGUUAUGCGGUUAUUUUUGUAGCUGAAAGAGUGGGGUUCUUCCAUUUUGAUUCAAUGGGGAAUCCCACGGGGAACUUUUCAACUAGUCAGAGGGCUUGUUUGAUCAAAACUGGAGAGAAAUAUUCUCGGCAGGCGCUGCUCGAUUUGGAGUCGAAACCAGAGACACUGCACGCUUUGUUCAAUGUCAACGAUCCUUAUCCAGAUUUAAACACAGAAUGGUUCUCCAGGAUGAGAAACAUUAAUGUUCUUUGCUUGGGAAGGUGGGAGAACUCAUCUAAGAAGAACGAUGAAGCAGAGACCAAUGAAGCAGAGGAGACCAAGCAUGAUGUUGAAGCGGAGAGCACCGAAUUCUUGAAGGGAUUGAGGAACAUGAAGCAGCAGCAUCAUGUUGAAGUGGAGAGCACUGAAUUCUUGAAGGGGUUGAGGAACAUGAAGCAUCUGAAGUUUCUCAGUCUGCAAGGAAUCUCUAGGAUCAACGAGCUUCCUGAAACCAUCCAGAAGCUUGUCAAUCUAAAGAUUUUGGAUCUUAAUUCUUGCCACAAUCUGGAGGCAAUUCCAGAGAAUAUUGUGUCGCUCCAGAAGCUGACACACUUGGACAUUUCUGAGUGCUACAUGCUGGAUUACAUGCCCAAGGGGUUUGGGUCACUUACUGAACUCCAAGUCCUUAAGGGGUUUGUAAUUAGUAAUCUGAAAAUAAAAAAUGCAGGAACUCUUGAUGAUUUAAAAGGAUUGCCAAAGUUGAGGAAACUGAGCAUCUAUACAACCAAGAAAGAUUUCCCUAGAGUUCAAGACCUGAAAGCGCUAAGGCAUAUCACAGCGCUUCAGAAGCUAACAAUUGAAUGGGGAGGGAAAUCCCGUGUCAAAAAAAAGGAAAUUAGAAAUGACUCGAGAAGACUGAGAAGGAUCGAUGCCUUUAGACAAGAGAACAUCACUGCAGUGAUUCCUGACCUUCCUGAACAUUUGGUGAAGCUGGAUCUUCAGUGUUACCCUGAGACUAAGGCUCCUGAGUGGCUGUCACCUCUCAGACUGAAAAAUCUUCAGAAACUCUACAUCAGAGGUGGGCAUCUCAGUGCUCUGGGUCAAGCUCAGGGUGGAAAUCAAAAGUGGAAUGUCAAGAUACUGCGUCUCAAAUUUUUGAAAGAACUAAAGAUGGAUUGGAGAGCACUGCAUGAUGCAUUUCCGCAUUUGAUUUACUUGGAGAAAUUUAAAUGUCCUAAACUGACUUUCUUCCCUUGUGAUGGCACCGGAGUGUGGCUGGACAGAGAAAAGCUAGCAAACCAGCCGUUGGAAGAAUUAGGAUUGACAUGGUCUUUCCUUUCCAAAAGUUCUACUUGAGUUCAAAGUAUGUUCUACAUUUCAGGCAUGUAUUUUUAAUUUCGAUUCCGUUCUUCAUUUCAUUACAUCUGCAAGGUUGUUUUCUGUAUGUAAAAGAAAGAGAGUCUGAGUAUAUUUGAGCUCCAAAAAUAUCAUUUCCAUUCAAUGAUUUUAUAUUUUGAUUUUUGGAGGCUGUCCCAUAAAUUCUGAUAUGAACUGUCAUGGAACUCUGAAGACUUGAAUUUUGAUGCACUCCAUGAUCAUAGGAUUUGAUGGUCUACUUAUUUUUAAGCUUCGAAGGACCAAGUUAGCAGGGAAACUAGAGGGAUGAUUUAGUUUAGCCGUGAGGCCUCCAAUUCUCACAAACUGACCAUGCCAUUGCUAGGAGUUAGCAAGGGGCUGGAUUCGGCCGCCGGUAAUUUCAAAUAGGAAGUGAUAUCUAACAGAUAGGGUGGUUUCUGCCCACAAGACCAGUCCAGAAAAGAAUUCGCAGCGCCUAAUUAACAUGUAGAAUUAAGCUGUCUCAAAAUAUGCAGGCCAUUAAACAUCAGGGUAUGAACUGAUAAUUUGUUUGGAGUUCUGUCUACACUUGGAUGAUGAAAUUCAUGUGAAAUAUUUAUUUAAUUCCAUCAUGAAUGGUAGAAGAACUAAUACUUAAUUAUUCUGUCCCUA